Molecule: long non-coding RNA, 277 nt
Organism: Mauremys mutica (yellowpond turtle)
Lineage: Eukaryota; Metazoa; Chordata; Testudines; Geoemydidae
Exons: 3
Source: RefSeq, a predicted model, not a curated record
AAGUCUUCUCCAGAAUAUAAAAUCUGUUCUUAAGAAAAUUUCACUCGAGGAUAAAUCACUGGCAAUAAACACCUUUUCCUUUGCAGAUGGUUUAUGAUCACUGACAUUGUGAAAUCUGACUAGCAGGAGGUUCUGUGAUUUCUGUCACAUCAGGAUUUACAACUGCGACAGCACUGGCUGUUAAUCUUUGGAAAUCAGAGUGACAUGAGAAAGGGAGCGCAACAUACAGCACAUAGGAGAAGUACAAUGAAAAGCAGUAAGCAAAAACAAACUAAUG